UCACUCUGGUUUCCCUUCAAAACGAAUAAAUAUUUCGCCUUUUACUAAAGAUUUCCGUGGAGAGGAACACUCAAAUGAGUCUAACUCUAUUUUUUUAGCCUCACGCUUGUGUGGC
RNAcentral lists this small nuclear RNA (115 nucleotides) under Leguminivora glycinivorella. RNAcentral describes it as "U5 spliceosomal RNA". It matches the Rfam family "U5 spliceosomal RNA". Rfam says of the family: U5 RNA is a component of both types of known spliceosome. The precise function of this molecule is unknown, though it is known that the 5' loop is required for splice site selection and p220 binding, and that both the 3' stem-loop and the Sm site are important for Sm protein binding and cap methylation. The record is from RNAcentral. Lineage: Eukaryota; Metazoa; Arthropoda; Insecta; Lepidoptera; Tortricidae.